Molecule: ribosomal RNA, 502 nt
Filed under: uncultured bacterium
Lineage: Bacteria
Description: partial 16S ribosomal RNA
Rfam family: Bacterial small subunit ribosomal RNA
Source: RNAcentral
UGGGGAAUUUUGGACAAUGGGCGAAAGCCUGAUCCAGCAAUGCCGCGUGUGUGAAGAAGGCCUUCGGGUUGUAAAGCACUUUUGUCCGGAAAGAAAUCCUUGGCUCUAAUACAGUCGGGGGAUGACGGUACCGGAAGAAUAAGCACCGGCUAACUACGUGCCAGCAGCCGCGGUAAUACGUAGGGUGCAAGCGUUAAUCGGAAUUACUGGGCGUAAAGCGUGCGCAGGCGGUUUGCUAAAGACCGAUGUGAAAUCCCCGGGCUCAACCUGGGAACUGCAUUGGUGACUGGCAGGCUAGAGUAUGGCAGAGGGGGGUAGAAUUCCACGUGUAGCAGUGAAAUGCGUAGAGAUGUGGAGGAAUACCGAUGGCGAAGGCAGCCCCCUGGGCCAAAUACUGACGCUCAUGCACGAAAAGCGUGGGGGAGCAAAACAGGAUUAGAUACCCUGGUAGUCCACGCCCUAAAACGAUGUCAACUAGUUGUUGGGGAUUCAUUUCCUUAGU